AUUGAAAUACCGGUUCCCAUACGAUUACUGAAGUUAAGCAACGCCAAGCCUGGUUAGUACAUAGAUGUGUGAACGCUUAGGAAUACAGGUGCUGUAAG
This is a non-coding RNA of Acanthosepion pharaonis, 98 nucleotides long. NCBI's taxonomy places the organism in Eukaryota, Metazoa, Mollusca, Cephalopoda, Sepiida, Sepiidae. The record is from the annotation of a GenBank genome assembly.